CUCUUCUGUGGAUGCCCUGUCCUCCAGAAGCUCACAGACCAGAGCUCGGCCCAUCUGCCGGUCGCGGUUAGAGAGCCAUCCUGCAGGAGAUGAGAUUCGUCCAGAGAAGUUUGGCUCCAAACUCAAGCACAAAAGAGACAUUGGGCUGCUACAGGUGCCUUGAUCACUCGCUAGGUAAAGAACUGGAUCCUGGCUGGGUCUGCAUUUUGGAAUGUCUCUCUGACUGCAGCAUGGCAGAGAGCUGAGGGUGCAGAAAAGGGUUGAGGAGAAGCAGGAAGAGACUGUUGCAAACAUGCGGUCAAAUCAUCUGCUGGAUCAGGGAAGCUGAAAGGUGGAAGGGAAGGUGUCAGAGAGUAAGAGGUGAUGGAGCUGAGGUGAGACUGGAGCGGCCCUGUCUCAGGUCUGCCUGAGUGGAUGCCACUUACAGAACUUGGGUCUCAGCGGGGGAAGAUGACGAGAAGGUGCCUGUGGCAUGGCGUGUGAGGGAUAUGGCUGAAGGUGCUCAUUUGAGGUGCAUUACAGAAAGCAUCAGGGCUCUGCACUCUACAUGCCCACCAGCCAUGGUUGGAGGUAGUGGGACCCUCCAGCCACCUUUCAUCCACUUCCAUAUUGACC
RNAcentral lists this long non-coding RNA (615 nucleotides) under Cricetulus griseus (Chinese hamster). RNAcentral's name for it is "lncRNA (ENSCGRG00015033680.1)". The record is from RNAcentral. Lineage: Eukaryota; Metazoa; Chordata; Mammalia; Rodentia; Cricetidae.